CUAGAGGGAGGGGUUCCUACGGAAGAGGAAGAGGCCGAGGUCGAGGCAGGACAUUCAGAGACAAAAGCACUGUGGAAUGGUACAAGUGCCAUCGUCUAGGACACUUCAAGAGUGAGUGUCCAAAGUGGGAAGAAGAAGAAGCCAACUAUGUUGAUGAGGAAGAAGAAAUGUUACUUAUGGCAUACAUUGAAGAAGAAACUGAAGAAGAUGUGGAGAUGGCAAUGGUAACUCAGACGGGGGAGCAAGAAGAC
Molecule: long non-coding RNA, 251 nt
Filed under: Brassica napus (rape)
Lineage: Eukaryota; Viridiplantae; Streptophyta; Magnoliopsida; Brassicales; Brassicaceae
Description: long non-coding RNA (BNAP_LNC009320)
Source: RNAcentral